RNAcentral lists this ribosomal RNA (468 nucleotides) under uncultured bacterium. RNAcentral's name for it is "partial 16S ribosomal RNA". It matches the Rfam family "Bacterial small subunit ribosomal RNA", at positions 28 to 507 of the family's 1533-position model. The record is from RNAcentral.
GACGAACGCUGGCGGCGUGCUUAACACAUGCAAGUCGAACGGCAAGGCCCUGCUUUUGUGGGGUGCUCGAGUGGCGAUCGGGUGCGUAACACGUGAGUAACCUGCCCUUGACUUUGGGAUAACUUCAGGAAACUGGGGCUAAUACCGGAUAGGAGAUCCUGCUGCAUGGUGGGGGUUGGAAAGUUUCGGCGGUCGGGGAUGGACUAGCGGGUUAUCAGCUUGUUGGUGGGGUAGUGGCUUACCAAGUCUUUGACGGGUAGCCGGCCUGAGAGGGUGACCGGCGACAUUGGUACUGAGAUACGGCCCAGACUCCUACGGGAGGCAGCAGUGGGGAAUAUUGCACAAUGGGCGGAAGCCUGAGGCAGCAACGCCGCGUGCGUGAUGACGGCCUUCGGGUUGUAAACCGCUUUCGCCUGUGACGAAGCGGGAGUGACGGUAAUGGGUAAAUAAGCACCGGCUAACUACGUG